This is a long non-coding RNA of Mauremys reevesii (Reeves's turtle), 193 nucleotides long. RefSeq lists it as uncharacterized. The record is from RefSeq and is a predicted model, not a curated record. Lineage: Eukaryota; Metazoa; Chordata; Testudines; Geoemydidae. The transcript has 3 exons.
GCACAACCAGAGCAAAAGAGGAGCUGGGGAACGCGGUGCGGCUGCUGCUCUCAGAGAGGAGCUGGAUUUGCAGAGCAGACGGGACGGGAUGAAAAUUCUAUGAAUUGAGCUCUGUGAAGGACACACCGACAAGGAGAGUGUUUGAGAGAUGAAUGAAUGGGUGAGCAAGAGCAAAUCAAACUGCUGCUGCGAG